RNAcentral lists this ribosomal RNA (960 nucleotides) under Triticum aestivum (bread wheat). Its description in RNAcentral is "partial small subunit ribosomal RNA". The record is from RNAcentral. Lineage: Eukaryota; Viridiplantae; Streptophyta; Magnoliopsida; Poales; Poaceae.
AUGGUUCGAAUUAGAAUUCCACCAUCAAGGGUUCGUGGCCAGCAUGCCCUACUACUUUGGCAAAUGAUGCAGGAGCUUGGGGCACCAUGUCCUCAAUUCUUUGAAGAGAUGCCAGAUGAUGGAACACACUCCUACAGGCGUGUAGUUGUGGUGCUCAGCGGUGUUCCAUCAGACAUGGACUUCUAUGUGGAGCUCUCCACAAUGCAGCGGUCAUCCGAUGGCACUCUACCCAUGCAGGAGGUUGCCAAGGAAGCUAUGCUUGGACUACGAGCACGCUUUGGAGAGAAACUGCGCACCACCGGAUACCGAGACUUGCCAGCACUUGAUUCUGGGGGUUUGGGGCAGAACCAUCAGCAAGGACCUAGAGGAGCAAGCCUGGGUGUUGGGUCUUCAUCAGCUCAGCCUACACCUAUCGCUUCAACAGUUAGCACCACUUCUAGUAUGACAAUGAUUGCUGAUACGAUGAUGUAUCAUACAAUGAAGGAGGAGCUUAUUAGACACCAGGAAGCAACCCAAUUCUGGUAUCAAUGCUAUCAGAUGAGCGAACAUGAUAGGGUUGUGCUUCAGGGAGCACUAAAUGCUAUGCCUGGAGGUCCUCUUAAUCCUAUAAUAGUACCAGGUGAUGUUCAAGAGGAAGAAGAGGAGGAUCCAGAGGAAGUAGAACUAGAGGAACAGGAAGAAGUUGAGGGAGUAGAGAACCCAAAUGAGCCACUAGUUCCACCCUCACCAAACGUACCACCUACACCACCCCAGCCGCUACCUGAACAUAUAGUUGAACCAGAACCAGCCCUACAGCCAGAUAUAGAGCAGCAGCAGCUACCCCACUUCCCUAUUCCACGACCACACCAACCUGACUUUAUCCACCCACACAUGAGUGUCAGCUCGAGGGAGUACAGGGAGGCUGCUACCUAUGCAAGGGUACUUGGGCUUGGCGCGAGUGACAGUGGCGGAAGCAAUUGA